Molecule: long non-coding RNA, 401 nt
Organism: Solea senegalensis (Senegalese sole)
Lineage: Eukaryota; Metazoa; Chordata; Actinopteri; Pleuronectiformes; Soleidae
Exons: 3
Source: RefSeq, a predicted model, not a curated record
UGUAGCUGAGUUAGCAAUAAAAAAGUGUGUAACGUUAAUGGACGUUGAGGUUUUUGGAUUCAACAGAGAACGAGGAAAGAAACGACUAAACCACGGAGUAAUUAAAUCACGGAGAGACACACAGAGAGAGAAGUUAACUGCGUCAGGUGUUUCCUUCAAUUUACGCCGAUUGCGUAGUGGUGACCGUCUUUGUCCGCUGUUUGGGACGUCGCCGCUGCUUGUGUCCGUCCUCAUCUCUUCUUCUGAACAUUGAAGGGAAGCGCUGUGACAUUUCACACAGCAUCAUCAGCUGCCAGACACCUCCUAUCAGGAUCGGUUUGGAAGCCUUUUAAUCCGCGCUCUAAAGAAGUCUUCCCUGUCAAUGGAGGGGAACGUGACCUCAAUACCAAAGGCGGCGGCGG